AAUCAUGGCUCAGGACGAACGCUGGCGGCGUGCCUAACACAUGCAAGUCGAACGGAGAAUUUUAUUUCGGUAGAAUUCUUAGUGGCGAACGGGUGAGUAACGCGUAGGCAACCUACCCUUUAGACGGGGACAACAUUCCGAAAGGAGUGCUAAUACCGGAUGUGAUCAUCGUGCCGCAUGGCAGGAUGAAGAAAGAUGGCCUCUACAAGUAAGCUAUCGCUAAAGGAUCCGGGCUGCGUCUGAUUAG
RNAcentral lists this ribosomal RNA (247 nucleotides) under uncultured bacterium. RNAcentral describes it as "partial 16S ribosomal RNA". It matches the Rfam family "Bacterial small subunit ribosomal RNA", at positions 15 to 244 of the family's 1533-position model. The record is from RNAcentral.